This 411-nucleotide ribosomal RNA is filed under the name Digonogastra sp. Its description in RNAcentral is "partial 16S ribosomal RNA". The record is from RNAcentral. Lineage: Eukaryota; Metazoa; Arthropoda; Insecta; Hymenoptera; Braconidae.
GUCUUUAAGAUUUUAAUUUAAAGUCUAAUCUGCCCACUGAAUUUUUUAAAUGGCUGCAGAAUUUUUUACUGUACUAAGGUAGCAUAAUAAUUUGUUUUUUAAUUAAAAACUAGAAUGAAAGAUUUAAUGAAAUAUAAACUGUUUCAAUUAAAUUAAAUAUUAAAUUUUUUUCUUAAGUAAAAAAACUUAAAUAAAUUUUAAAGACGACAAGACCCUAUAGAAUUUUAUUUAUAAUUUUUUAUUUUACAAAAUUAUAAAUUUUAUUGGGGUAAUAAAAAAAUUAAAUUAAUUUUUUCUAAAAAAAACAAUUUUAUUGAAUAUAAAAUCUUAAAUUUUAAAUUAAAAAAAUUAAUUACCUUAGGGAUAACAGCAUAAUUUUUUUUAAAAGAUCAUAUUUAUAAAAAAGUUUAU